UAACGGCUCACCAAGGCUAUGAUGGGUAGCUGGUCUGAGAGGAUUAUCAUCCACUACUGGAACUGAAACACGGUCCAGACUCCUACGGGAGGCAGCAGUGGGGAAUCUUGCGCAAUGGGCGAAAGCCUGACGCAGCGCCGCCUCGUGGGGGAUGGAGGCCUUCGGGUUGUAAACCCCUUUCAGCAGGGACGAAAACGACGGUACCUGCAGAAGAAGCGCCGGCUAACUACGUGCCAGCAGCCGCGGUAACACGUAGGGCGCAAGCGUUGUCCGGAAUUAUUGGGCGUAAAGAGCUCGUAGGCGGACUGUUGCGUCUGCUGUGAAAAGCUGGGGCUUAACCCUGGCCUUGCAGUGGAUACGGGCAGACUAGUGGUAGGUAGGGGAGAAUGGAAUUCGCGGUGUAGCGGUGAAAUG
RNAcentral lists this ribosomal RNA (414 nucleotides) under uncultured soil bacterium. RNAcentral describes it as "bacterial SSU rRNA". It matches the Rfam family "Bacterial small subunit ribosomal RNA", at positions 258 to 688 of the family's 1533-position model. The record is from RNAcentral.